UGGGGAAUCUUGCGCAAUGGGCGAAAGCCUGACGCAGCGACGCCGCGUGAGGGAUGACGGCCUUCGGGUUGUAAACCUCUUUCAGCCCUGACGAAGCGAAAGUGACGGUAGGGGCAGAAGAAGCACCGGCCAACUACGUGCCAGCAGCCGCGGUAAUACGUAGGGUGCAAGCGUUGUCCGGAAUUAUUGGGCGUAAAGAGCUCGUAGGCGGUCUGUCGCGUCGGCUGUGAAAACUCGGAGCUCAACUCCGAGCUUGCAGUCGAUACGGGCAGGCUAGAGUUCGGCAGGGGAGACUGGAAUUCCUGGUGUAGCGGUGAAAUGCGCAGAUAUCAGGAGGAACACCGGUGGCGAAGGCGGGUCUCUGGGCCGAUACUGACGCUGAGGAGCGAAAGCGUGGGGAGCGAACAG
RNAcentral lists this ribosomal RNA (408 nucleotides) under uncultured bacterium. RNAcentral's name for it is "bacterial SSU rRNA". It matches the Rfam family "Bacterial small subunit ribosomal RNA", at positions 355 to 775 of the family's 1533-position model. The record is from RNAcentral.